GACGAACGCUGGCGGCGUGCUUAACACAUGCAAGUCGAACGGAAAGGCCCUGCUUUUGUGGGGUGCUCGAGUGGCGAACGGGUGAGUAACACGUGAGUAACCUGCCCUUGACUUUGGGAUAACUUCAGGAAACUGGGGCUAAUACCGGAUAGGAGCUCCUGCUGCAUGGUGGGGGUUGGAAAGUUUCGGCGGUUGGGGAUGGACUCGCGGCUUAUCAGCUUGUUGGUGUGGUAGUGGCUGACCAAGGCUUUGACGGGUAGCCGGCCUGAGAGGGUGACCGGCCACAUUGGGACUGAGAUACGGCCCAGACUCCUACGGGGGGCAGCAGUGGGGAAUAUUGCACAAUGGGCGGAAGCCUGAUGCAGCAACGCCGCGUGCGGGAUGACGGCCUUCGGGUUGUAAACCGCUUUCGCCUGUGACGAAGCGUGAGUGACGGUAAUGGGUAAAGAAGCACCGGCUAACUACGU
Molecule: ribosomal RNA, 467 nt
Filed under: uncultured bacterium
Lineage: Bacteria
Description: partial 16S ribosomal RNA
Rfam family: Bacterial small subunit ribosomal RNA
Source: RNAcentral